UUGCCCGCUUACAGAUAUUAGAUAGGCCUUGAUGAUAACUCUUUUUUAAAUUCAAAUUCUACUGGGCACAAGAAUUCUUUUAUGUGCACUUACGUUUUUUCUUGAUUGGAAGUUCAAUAAGUUCAUGGUUGUUUUGGAAAAAAAUCGAGUCUAUUUAUGGUGUUGAGGCAGAGGAAGGAGGGAUGUGGGAUUGAACAUGGUUCAAUAUAUAAGUUUAACAAUACACAUAGACACGAUUGGAUUGUAUCAGACUAUACUUUUAAAAAACUUAUUUUUCUUAUUUAAUACUGUCUAAGAUAGUCGAGAUUUUAGUUUAGCUCCUAAAGUGCUUCUAUUUCAUGUGAUAUUGUACCUUUUGUGAACAGUGGAGCUUGUCGUUUUAUUUCACAAGAGGGGAAUAAAGUGGUGUAUGAUAUAUGCUACUACUUUUAUGUGCUUUUGUUCAUGUUUGAGGAGUCUAAUUCCGAGACAUCUUUUAGCCUUGAUCAACAAUAGAAUAGUUGGCAAUUUCCAGAAUGUUAGAAACGGAUUUUUCAAGGAUAAAAUGCUUAAGAAAAUCCACAGAUCCCACCUAAAGCUUAAGACCUUUUUCUAUUGCUUUUGGUGGGGGUCUGCGGAAUUUAUGGUUUGUAGUUCUCUUCAUGUUCCGUAAUUUAUACCUAUUCUCAUACGUUGCUCAUUUCAAUUCUUUGGGCCAAAACCUCAAAACAAGCACUUACGUUUGGGAGAUUCUUUUUGCCAUUUCCAUCUCCAUCAUUGGUAACAUGAAGGUGAGUACUUGAUUCCCAUUAAAUUUUGUACAUAUAGCUGAAUGGCAUAUUUAAUACAGUACAAUGGACAAAAUGAAAAACUUAUUUUCUAGUCUUUAUACUGUCUUAUGAAGCAGGUCAUAAGCUUAUAUUUGAUUUCAGCUUUUAUAUCCCCCAAGAGACAUGUUUGAAGUCCCACCGUAUGCUUCCUGAUAAUUUGUGACAAUAUGAGCAAUACAAGUGGCAAGAAACCAGGGGAGUCAAAGAAGAUUCCUUAAUUCGUGACCAGCUAACAUCUUUGUUGGAGUUUACAUACAAGAGUUCUACUCCCAGCAGUGGAGGACAUGGGAAGCCUGCUUUAUCCAAUUAGCAUGACAUCGACAUUGCAGGAGGAAGAUUGAGAAAUCUGUGCAAGUGGCAAAAGUUAAAAUUCACAAGGCCUUGGCAAAAAGAGGGCAGGAGCUCACCUAGCCUCGGUGCCACCAUUAAUGCAUCAAAUUUUCUGCCAAUUUGCUUAGUUCCUUGUGCAAUAACUAUAUACAUAAUGCUAAAUUAUCACCCCGAGUACGUAGUGCAAAAUUACCUCCUCUAGUGCUUCAGAAGCCGGCCGAGCCUAAUUUUAGUGCAAAAGACCAUUCAUAGGAAGCAUAUUCUUGUAGAUGACAUUGCAGCACAAUGGUACCCUGUUGGAACACCUGAUGACAUAUACGGUAAUAGUGUUACCAUGUACGUAUUUUCUCCAAUCUCGAGCUUUCUUUUUAUACAUAGGUACGUUUUAUUUCAAUACACUAUUGCCACUGUGGAUAUACACGGAUUGAGAUUUGGCUUGAUUUUAUAAGAAAUUUACCAGUAUGUAUGUAUAUGUGUUUAUUUACUUGCUCUCUAUUUUUUUCAUUUACUGCUUUAGUGCUAUACAUAAAAACCAUGUCACUGAAAUUCUUUCUUAUUGAUUGUAUCGUCUUUUGCAUUCGCAUCAGUUGUUAGGAUUUUUUGUGAAGUAAAAAUGUUAUAUAGGAAAAAUUAUCCGUGUGGGAAACAUGUCACUAGUAGCAACAGAGAUCUUCCAUAGUAGUGUCUUUUUUUCAAGAAAUAAUUAUCUAUAAUUUGGUUAAUAAAAUGGCUUAGCAUAUAAACCUUCCAGUUUCUCCUUAUUAAUUAUGGUCAAUUUUACAACUCGAAGUUAUUCUACAACGAACAACAGUGAAAAUAUCCACAACAGUAAUUAUUUCAUAAACUAAAACUUGAUAACUAUGAAAUAAUAUUUGAAUACAGGACUCAAUACUAAAAACAAGUCUAAACCCAUCUAGUUAAAAAAUUUCCUGCUAUAAUCAGUACUAGACCAUGCCCAAAAUAGUAAAAUUUCGAGCCUAUCUCUCAUGCAUAUUAUCUUCUAUUCCUCGGAGACGAUACGUGAGCAAAAACCGCUGCUACUGGCUCUUGCACCACCACUACUACUACGGCCACUGCCAUCAAGGUUGCUGCUGCUUGCAUCAUCACCAUGUGAGACCUUUUUUGUCGCUUUCUUGAUGUAGCCAAAUGAAAUUGAGAAUUUUGGCGAUAUCCCCACAGUUGAAUCUAGUCACCUUCUUCCAAAUUAUUUGCUUUCACCAAUUUACUCCAAUCUUUUUUAAGCACAGCCAUUUUUUAAGUACCCCACCUCAUAUGCAACGUAUAGUAUUUACCUUCCGGAUCAAUUGUUACAAUCUUGACUUUGCCUUGGUUAACUUCUACUAAUUGUCGCUAUGCUGGUGUUAAGAAUUCCAUUAGUUUUUUGAGAAAGAAGAAUUCGGUUUUGAUCAGACUUGGUAUCAGAAUCUGUGAGCUGUUUUUGGUAUAAAAAGAUUGGCACGGUUCCUCCAUUCAACCAUAAUUCUUGAUAUAUUUCAGGAAGAAGCGGUUCAGGAAAAGGCUCUGCUCAUCUUGUACGAUAUUGCUCUUCAGCUCUCUUUUUUCUGGGGCAUUCUUUUGCUUGAACAAGGAACCAUAGCGAGAGGUUGUGGCAUAAAUGGUGGUUGUUGAUCAAGAAGAAGAAGAUAUUCAAAGAGGCUAAGUGAAACGAUCUUCUUCUUCUUCUUCUUCUUCUUCAUCGGAAACACUUUAGGGAGAGGAAGAUCAAGAUCUUCACCAUCAAACAGAUCGAAAGAAACUCUCUUCUUCAUUGUAGACAAGAAUAGAAUUUCUAUACGUAUCUAUUUCUUGCUUGCAGUAAAUUCUUUGUGUAGAACUGAAUAGGGGUAUGUUCAUUCUUAUAUAGAUGUUUAUGGUAAUCUCAUUCCAACUCAAUAAAGGAAACCCAGAGAACCCCUGAAACUCGUUAUGGUAACAUUUGUUGAUCAA
Molecule: long non-coding RNA, 3086 nt
Organism: Olea europaea var. sylvestris
Lineage: Eukaryota; Viridiplantae; Streptophyta; Magnoliopsida; Lamiales; Oleaceae
Exons: 3
Source: RefSeq, a predicted model, not a curated record